Long non-coding RNA from Mercenaria mercenaria, 621 nucleotides. RefSeq lists it as uncharacterized. The record is from RefSeq and is a predicted model, not a curated record. The transcript has 3 exons. NCBI's taxonomy places the organism in Eukaryota, Metazoa, Mollusca, Bivalvia, Venerida, Veneridae.
GUCAACACCUGGUUAUUUACUGUUCGUUUAUAAUUGUUUACUAACCGUGUAUUAUGGUAAUUUCAUGGUAUAUUACGGUAGAUGUAGGUAGUUAAAUAGUUUUGGGUAAAAGAAGUAGCGCGUGAAAUCAGUCAAGUAGAACAAUAUCAUGCGAAUCGUUCACUUUCCACGCAGAGUUGAUAGCUUGAGCAGCAGCUUAGAUUAUUUUAGUUUUUAUUGAAAUUACUAAUGAUAGAAGGCACAUUCCAGUAUGUAGUAAAAGAUACAGCACAGAUGCACAGUAACAGCUCGGAGAGCGAUUGUGGGUGUAAGCACAGAUGUGAGACAGAUAUAUACAUUGUUGAAGGUCACUGAUAUCAUUACAUCACUGACCAAUACUACAAUACUACGAUAGAAUCAAUACAGAUAUAAAACUGAACCGGAGUUGUUGUCCAUUACAUCACUCAAGAGGUCACAAAAGGAAGACCACAUUCCAAAAGCAUUUGAUAAAGUCAAGUUACAAGGACUUUCAGAGGAAUUGGAGAUAAAGUUACUGACACACGAUAUGCAAGAUGCCGCAAUUUUGUUUAUGAAAGAAAACUUUGUUCCAUAUGAACCACUGGUUCAAAUGUUUGAUGUGCA